CAGGAUCCACCCCUUCCCAGACCUCAUUUCAGGGUUGGCAGUGGAGGCGAGGGAAUCUUACUGGAGAUCCCUGUGUACCUGAGACCUUCUGAAGUGGGAUCUCAACCUGUGCAGUGGGAAGCUCCCUGGUUGCUUCCCUGUUACGUCUCACCUCCUACAGACCAGAGAGCACUCAGACAGGAGAGCCAGUGGGAAGCUCCCUGAAGGUGAGGACCGUGUGUGCUGCAGGCUGCCAAGAGGAAAAUAACUACAUGAGCAUUUAAAGCAGCCUGGGCAGGAAAAGAUGGAAGAGAGGAACUGUGAAGGAGUCUGUCAAAGUGACAGAGGCUUCCUGGGUGCCUCCUGCAAAGGGCAGGAGUCUAAAAGGAGCAGGAGGAAUAAGCAGAUGAGAACAUGGACCCUUGAAAUUGAGGGUGGUAAAAGCACAGUGCAAAUUAAUGGUGUCUUGCUUAUCUUCAUCCCCCAGUCUCUGUCUCUAACACACUGGGGCAACUUGGUAUUUUUCUUCUCCUGUAUCAUUAGAGAUAUUGAAGUCUGUGGGUGGCCAAUCAUUUCCUUCAGGUGUCACUGAGGCUUCCAUCUGGGUAAUGUUUUCCUUGUCAGAUCUGCUCUGCGGACACAGUGUGUCAGUUUCCUCUUUUGUCAGAGAAGUGGCAGUGGCACUUGUAUGUCAGCUGGGAAGGUGGAGAUGUAAGUUUGUUUCUCAUCAAGUGUACGAAGUCAUGAACUGAAACAUGAAAGUUUCUCCCCGGUAAAAACCUUCCUCAGAAAGACAAAUGGUGGCAAAUACUGUUGUUCCCCCUUGGUAACUCAAACAUGUUCAUUCAUUCACUUCCAGAUCACACCCCAAUCUGAACAACUGAAUGAAUGAACACAUGUCAAAGAAGGGUGAGCAAUGCACCAAGUUGGCAGGGCAUGAACUGUGGUUGUAGGGUUCCCAUGUGCUAAAUUUCUCAGGUGAAGCUAUGAAUAUGAAUGAGUGAACCUCAUGGACCUUUCCUUUAAUGGAAAAAGCCACAUGUGACCUUGCUGGCAGGAAGGACAGAGUGUCCUAACUGCCAUUCUGCUCUCUGCUCUUCUGGUGUGGAGCACAGGCUGCUGGAAGGCUGGCAAAAGCAUUCCCACGUGGCUUCUCCCUUACUCUCUUUCAAACUCAGGAAACUUGAAAUAAUAUGUGCUCUCUGCACUGUCAAGGAUCAAAGUCUAACGUGUUCCAACAAGUUUCUCUAAUCUUCAUACAUCUGUGGUAUCAAAGAUGCUUGUCUAAACAAAACUUCUGAACAGUGUGUAGUGCUACCUGAGACCUGAUGGGGAAAAGGGAGGAAAUGCACCUUAUUAAUUCUCUUUCUAAUUUACAUGGCAUUUUAUGAGCAAGUGAAACUCAUUUUCUUCAAAGAUAUUAGAUCUGGGAAAUGCAGCUGAUAAUUUAAGCUGGUAGAUUGAUGCGUUAGAGGCAAGCUACGGAGGUUUUGAUGAAAUGAUGCCCUUAUCUGAUAGAGCAGCAGCUGAGAUACAUAACUGUACAAACCAUGAGUCUGAUCUUGUGGGUAGAUGUUUCCUUCUAAGACCCUUUGGAGUUAUAGUUCACCAUUCCUUUGAGACAGUGUAUUGCAGCCCAACAGGGAUAGUACAUACCAUGGAUUUUUAACUGAAGUAUGCCACUUAGGGCUAACUACCUGCAGUUUUGUCCUUUCCCACCUGUUUCACAAAUAGUUUACAAGUUCUGUCAUUUGUUAAACGCAUUACUUCACCUCUACAUCUGUGCUGUGUACUCCUGCUGCAAUGUAUCAUAUACUACAUAUAUAUGCACACUACAUAUUCCAAAACAGGGAAUCUCUCUGGCUCACGUAUGAUUCCUUCCACUACAGCAAGUGUCAGUGACACGUUGUUUAAGAUCCGUCAGCUACACUAUAUUUAGCAUUUCUUUUUUAAACCAAGACUUGUCACAGAAGAACAAAUUGUGUCAUUCACUAGAAUAAUCUCUCCCACAAGGAGACACUUUGAACAAUGGGAAUACCAUGAGUGCUGUAAUUAUGUAAAUCACAAACAAUCUAAUUCCAUCACAUCACUAGCUAAAACAAUGCAUGCUAAAUGACAAAGAGUAGGUACAGGUGCGCAUACUUCAGUGUCUACUGAAAAUAUGCUGUCUGGGGUUGUAUAUGGUAUAUGCUUCUUGCCUUGUGCACUGUUGUUUUUUGUCACUUUGACCCAGAGUCAGCCCUAAAUUAACCCUGCAAGGACUGUUCAGGAUGAGGACCAGCACAAACUGUCUGCACAGAGAUUUUG
Molecule: long non-coding RNA, 2286 nt
Organism: Lagopus muta (rock ptarmigan)
Lineage: Eukaryota; Metazoa; Chordata; Aves; Galliformes; Phasianidae
Exons: 3
Source: RefSeq, a predicted model, not a curated record